This is a long non-coding RNA of Pundamilia nyererei, 280 nucleotides long. RefSeq lists it as uncharacterized. The record is from RefSeq and is a predicted model, not a curated record. Lineage: Eukaryota; Metazoa; Chordata; Actinopteri; Cichliformes; Cichlidae. The transcript has 3 exons.
UAGAUGUCGCUGCUGGAGAAUGUGUAAUUCUGUUUAUUCAUCUGGAUACUGGACGUAUAAAUCUAAUACAUUUUGAAGCUACAAGAAUUCUCCUCCUCCAUGGGCCUGUUACUUUGACGAUAAAAGACCAGGAGACAGCCUACAAUGAUGUUUUCCACGUUCCUGGAUUCUCACUGUGGUUCCUGCAUCAAGCUCAGUCACACCUGCACAAAGUUACGAGCCGUGGACAAUGAUAUGGUACAUGACAAAAACAGUUUCUUAUAAACCCUCCAUACUCUGU